CAAACGAUUUUCGGAAACGGAUAUCUCGGUUCACGCAUCGAUGAAAAACGUAGCAAAAUGCGAUACUUGGGGUGAAUUGCAAAAUCCCGUGAACCAUCGAGUUUUUGAACGCAAGUUGCGCCCGAAGCCAUUCGGCCGAGGGCACGUUUGCCUGGGCGUCACGC
RNAcentral lists this ribosomal RNA (164 nucleotides) under Berkheya speciosa. Its description in RNAcentral is "5.8S ribosomal RNA". It matches the Rfam family "5.8S ribosomal RNA". From Rfam's summary of the family: 5.8S ribosomal RNA (5.8S rRNA) is a component of the large subunit of the eukaryotic ribosome. It is transcribed by RNA polymerase I as part of the 45S precursor that also contains 18S and 28S rRNA. Functionally, it is thought that 5.8S rRNA may be involved in ribosome translocation. Lineage: Eukaryota; Viridiplantae; Streptophyta; Magnoliopsida; Asterales; Asteraceae. The record is from RNAcentral.